GUUAUUAAAUAAAGAAUAUCUCAAAGAAUUUAAUGCUAUUGAAGGAGAUUAUGAUAAACCGAAUGCUGCCGAUUGCAAGCAUUUUCUAUUAAAUGUUCUUGGAUUUUUAAAUGAUUUCGACGAUCCAAACGUGAUUUAUAGAGGUAAU
Molecule: long non-coding RNA, 148 nt
Organism: Rhopalosiphum padi (bird cherry-oat aphid)
Lineage: Eukaryota; Metazoa; Arthropoda; Insecta; Hemiptera; Aphididae
Exons: 5
Source: RefSeq, a predicted model, not a curated record